UAUGUGAGCUGCACAGACACACAGG
Molecule: non-coding RNA, 25 nt
Filed under: Mus musculus (house mouse)
Lineage: Eukaryota; Metazoa; Chordata; Mammalia; Rodentia; Muridae
Source: RNAcentral